AAUGUAUGACGCCGUUGACUUUUUAUCCAACGUUUGACCAUUUGUCUUAUUUAAAAAAUUUAUGUAAUCAUUAUUUAUUUUAUUGUGAAUUGAUUCGUCAUCAAAUGUUCUUUAAGCAUGACAUAAAUAUUUUCAUAUUUGCACACAAAAUUUAAAUAAAACGAAUGGUCAAAUGUUAGUCAAAAAAAUCAACGGCGUCAUACAUU
Molecule: non-coding RNA, 206 nt
Organism: Oryza nivara
Lineage: Eukaryota; Viridiplantae; Streptophyta; Magnoliopsida; Poales; Poaceae
Source: Rfam